UCGGAAUUACUGGGCGUAAAGCGGACGUAGGUGGCUAUUUAAGUCAGGGGUGAAAUCCCCCGGCUUAACUGCGGAACUGCAUCUGAAACUGGUUAGCUAGAGUAGGGUAGAGGGAAGUAGAAUUCCAGGUGUAGCGGUGAAAUGCGUAGAGAUUCGGAGGAAUACCAGUGGCGAAGGCAGCUUCCUGGUACAUUACUGACACUGAGGUUCGAAAGCGUGGGUAGCAAACAGGAUUAGAUACCCUGGUAGUCCACGCCGUAAACGAUGUAUACUAGUCGUUGGGCCUUAGACUGUUCAGUGACGCAGCUAACGCAUUAAGUAGUCCGCCUGGGGAGUACGGCCGCAAGGUUAAAACUCAAAUGAAUUGACGGGGGCCCGCACAAGCGGUGGAGCAUGUGGUUUAAUUCGAUGCAACGCGAAGAACCUUACCUGGUCUUGACAUACACAGAAUGGGCAAUGGAGACGAUGUCCUUCAGUUGGAAUUGCCCCUGAACAGGUGCUGCAUGGCUGUCGUCAGCUCGUGUCGUGAGAUGUUGGGUUAAGUCCCGCAACGAGCGCAACCCUCGCCCUUAGUUACCAGCGUUUGGCCGGGAACUCUAAGGAUACUGCCAGUGACAAACUGAGAGGAAGGCGGGGACGACGUCAAGUCAUCAUGGCCCUUACGACCAGGGCUACACACGUGCUACAAUGGUGGUGACAGUGGGCAGCUACACAGCGAUGUCGAGCGAAUCUCCAAAAGCCAUCUGAGUCCAGAUUGCAGUCUGCAACUCGACUGCAUGAAGUUGGAAUCGCUAGUAAUCGCGGAUCAGAAUGCCGCGGUGAAUACGUUCCCGGGCCUUGUACACACCGCCCGUCACACCAUGGGAGUUGAUUGCACCAGAAGGUGGUGCGCUAACCGAAAGGAGGCAGUUCACCACGGUAGGGUCA
This 927-nucleotide ribosomal RNA is filed under the name Azotobacter sp. BactTSA01. RNAcentral describes it as "bacterial SSU rRNA". It matches the Rfam family "Bacterial small subunit ribosomal RNA", at positions 545 to 1470 of the family's 1533-position model. The record is from RNAcentral. Lineage: Bacteria; Pseudomonadati; Pseudomonadota; Gammaproteobacteria; Pseudomonadales; Pseudomonadaceae.